ACUUUUAAAGGAUGGUAGGCUAUCCACUGGUCUUAGGAACCAGAAAUUUUGGUGCAAUUCCAAAUAAAAGUA
RNAcentral lists this transfer RNA (72 nucleotides) under Tlacuatzin canescens. RNAcentral describes it as "tRNA-Leu". It matches the Rfam family "tRNA". Rfam says of the family: Transfer RNA (tRNA) molecules are approximately 80 nucleotides in length. Their secondary structure includes four short double-helical elements and three loops (D, anti-codon, and T loops). Further hydrogen bonds mediate the characteristic L-shaped molecular structure. tRNAs have two regions of fundamental functional importance: the anti-codon, which is responsible for specific mRNA codon recognition, and the 3' end, to which the tRNAs corresponding amino acid is attached (by aminoacyl-tRNA synthetases). tRNAs cope with the degeneracy of the genetic code in two manners: having more than one tRNA (with a specific anti-codon) for a particular amino acid; and 'wobble' base-pairing, i.e. permitting non-standard base-pairing at the 3rd anti-codon position. The record is from RNAcentral. Lineage: Eukaryota; Metazoa; Chordata; Mammalia; Didelphimorphia; Didelphidae.